AAUUCAUAAGUAUUCAUACCCUGUUGGUGUGAGAUGCCUAAAUUAGUUCAUAAUUUGUGGAAUGGAGUCGAUCUGUGUGCAAGUAAAGUGUCACAUGACCUCAAUAUAAAAGUACAUUCUUGAAAGGCCAUAGAGUCUGUUAGAGAACAUAUCUAAACAAACAGCAUCAUAAAAAUAAAAAAUGCCUAGGACAAAUUUUUGGAAAAGUGUCAAUCAGGGUUUUAUUUAUUUAUUUAUUUAUUUAUUUAAAUAUCCCAAACCUUGAACACCCUGUUUAGUAUCAUUAAAUCUGUUACUCUGGCAAGAAGAGCCCAUGCAAAAAUUACUGUUCUGGUAAUGAAGAAAUUAGUCAGAGAAACACUCGAGGCCAAAGGUAACUUUCAACAUGAUAUGAUACUUCCACCACCAUGCGUCACAAGGGGUACAACAAUACUCGUGCAAUCACAAUGUUUUCAUUUAUAUUUGUACAUAAUUUUGCAGGCUACAUUGAUCUAAAGCAACCCACAAACAUUUUCAAGGUACUGUAAAUCUAAUCAGCCAGUCAAAAACAUGUUUAGUUUCCUGUGUUGCCUUCUUUGAUUUUGCACUGGAGCUACCAGGCUAAUUUAACAGAUGAGAAAUAGAAGUCUGUUUUUGCUCCAAAUGACAUCAAAACGCUACAAAAUCUCAAUAAACGUUUUUGGUAAAUUGCAUGGACGGUGCUUAUUUGUAAGCAGAACAACAUUAUCAUCUGUAUUAUCGACCAGCAUUCCAGAACAAUUUAACAGAUUGGUAUGGAAUUGUGUUGAGGAAAAAAGGGAUUCCACUUCUCCAGAUGUCUGCCCCCAUAUUUGUGCAGUGUUCAGCUACAUAGUGAAGUUUUGUUCAUGUUUACAGAUUACAGUAAGUAAGUAAGCACUAUGGCCUAAGCACUAAGUCACAUCAGAGAGUUUUUGUAACAUCAGUUGGGUGAUUGGGUGUUUGAAUCCUGCCACUUCGCACGCAGAGCUUGCAUGUUCUCCACAUGAUUCAGGGAUUUUCCCUGGGUACUCCGGUUUGUGUACGAUAAGUGGUAUAGAAAAUGGAUAGAUUUUCAACUACCGUUUAUAAUGUACACAACUUCUAACGUGUUUUCAGAGAUUUUCUUUUUCUUUUUUUUUUAAGGCAUCAAUAUAAUUUUUGGUAUCUAAAUCAAUUUUUUUUUUCUGUUGACACAUAUUUAGGUGUUGUUUUUUUUGGAACCACAAAUGGCUGGAAGAAAAAUACACAGAAUGGCGUGACAGUGGCAUUUCUCAGCCUGAUUCUCAGACACAUCCAUAAGACAUCGUUGGCAGUGAUCGGGAAGGUGCAUGUUAAAUCCAGUCGAGGGUGUAAUGAAAGUAAACAAGCGGCACUGUUAAACUUGAUAGGUCAUUUAACUACAAAAAUUUGAGGAAACUAAUUACCUCAAAAUUUUUAAGAUGGUAAAUCAAUUUCUUUAAGCCAAAUACACUUAAAUUGAACAAAAGUAUAACUCAAACUUUUUAAUUUAAGUGUAUUUGGCUUAAAAAAAUUAGUUUUGAGGUAAUUAGUUUCCUCAAAUUUUUGGAGUUAAAUGAACUUAUCUAGUUUUACAGUGUGGAUUAUUUACUCAGUCAUCCUUUUUUCCCAUCAUGAUUACAAAAUGCAUUUGGAGAAGAAACUAAAAGUAGAUUUUUAGGCUAAGCACACAAUGUACAAUUUUUAGCACAAAACACCACAAGACAGAAUCAUACGUUUAGUGCGUUUGUUUAUGGUAUGAAUGAUCGGGUUGCAGCUUUUCUGUUUAUCAUGUGUGGAAACACGGUAUGAACGUAGUAGAACUUGAAAUACACAAACAUUUUAAAUCACAAAUGCAGUUGCGUAUCUGCCCUCUGAUCUAAUAUCACAACCAGCUGUCCCUGGCACGACCUCAGUCAAAGCCUGAGCCUCAGGAAGCAUUCUAUGGAUCGAUGACUAAAUUCGCUAAAACCACUGAUGGUCUGAUAGUACAACAGUGGUAUACAGUAUACCUUAUACCUUUUCACUGUUACGCUAAGCCACUUGAAUUUGCUUGGUUUUCAGGUGAGAACCAUACUUAUGUGUGGGGGAAAUUUCUUCAGGUUUUGUUUAUACCUCAUGCACAAGUUUCACAAACAAAGACGCCUUCCUGAGUAGUCAAUGCCUUGCAAGCUCAAAACAAUAUGUUGAAAAUUAUUGCAAAAGAACAUUAGCCACUAGCUUAGUUUCAAUUUGUCAUGAGCCAAUCGUCUGCUUGCUCUGAACAAACAUAAUUAAGUGCAGACUGUUAUGCACUUUUGCAAAGAGCCCCCAUACUCUUCACAAAACGGAAGUGUCAAAACCAGAGACCUCAAACACCUGUUAUCUUACUUCAGCUCUGGCUUUUGAGCCGCAUAGGCCAAGUCCAUCAAUUUUGAAUUGUAGCGUCAUUGAAUGGCAGCAAUGUCAAACAACAGUAGCAGUCUUUUGGAAAGAAGUCUUUUGUCAAGUCCCAAUGCCAGUGAUUAUGAUCUAAGCUUCAGCCCAGCAUAUGACUACUCUGAUUAUUAUUCAAAUAAUGGUACUGUUAACACAGAACCAUGUGGUUAUCGAACCCAUGCAAAC
Molecule: long non-coding RNA, 2601 nt
Organism: Ictalurus furcatus (blue catfish)
Lineage: Eukaryota; Metazoa; Chordata; Actinopteri; Siluriformes; Ictaluridae
Exons: 4
Source: RefSeq, a predicted model, not a curated record